UCAUGGCCAUUCAUCCCUGCUCUGUCGCCGGCACAGCUGAUGCACAUUCCAUGAUUCACACCUGCAGUAUUUAUACCCGGGCUGUGUUAUGCGCCAGAUCGUUACAUACUCCUAUGUGAUCCCGCCGUUACCUGCUUCCUACCUGCCGUGCUCUGCCGUGCUGCCUGCCUCACGCCACUCAGACACCUGCUUCUCCUGGAUUCUACUCGGAACUCCUUCGGAUCUGCCACUGCCUGGUUCCCUCAAGCUUCAGUCCAUUCCCAGAAGACUACAAGCUCAGCCUUGAUUGUUCAUCUCCUCUGAGUAUUUAUGCCUAAUAAAUACUUGAACUGUU
This is a long non-coding RNA of Perca fluviatilis (European perch), 334 nucleotides long. RefSeq lists it as uncharacterized. NCBI's taxonomy places the organism in Eukaryota, Metazoa, Chordata, Actinopteri, Perciformes, Percidae. The record is from RefSeq and is a predicted model, not a curated record. The transcript is spliced from 2 exons.